UACGUAGGGGGCGAGCGUUGUCCGGAUUCAUUGGGCGUAAAGAGCUCGUAGGCGGUUUAGCAAGUCGGGUGUGAAAUCUCCAGGCUCAACCUGGAGCGGCCAUUCGAUACUGCUAUGACUCGAGUCCAGUAGGGGAGUGUGGAAUUCCCGGUGUAGCGGUGAAAUGCGCAGAUAUCGGGAGGAACACCGGCGGCGAAGGCGGCACUCUGGGCUGGUACUGACGCUGAGGAGCGAAAGCGUGGGGAGCAAACAGGAUUAGAAA
RNAcentral lists this ribosomal RNA (262 nucleotides) under uncultured bacterium. Its description in RNAcentral is "partial 16S ribosomal RNA". It matches the Rfam family "Bacterial small subunit ribosomal RNA", at positions 524 to 784 of the family's 1533-position model. The record is from RNAcentral.